UACGGAGGGUGCGAGCGUUGUCCGGAGUUACUGGGCGUAAAGGGUGCGCAGGGGGCUGUGCGCGUGGUGGGUGAAAUCGCCCGGCUUAACUGGGCGGGGGCCUUCCAGACGGCGUAGCUUGAGCAGCGGAGGGGGACGUGGAAUUCCGGGUGGAGCGGUGAAAUGCGUAGAGAUCCGGAGGAACACCGCCGGCGCAGGCAGCGUCCUGGCCGCUUGCUGACACUGAGGCACGAAAGCUGGGGGAGCAAACAGG
Molecule: ribosomal RNA, 253 nt
Filed under: uncultured bacterium
Lineage: Bacteria
Description: partial 16S ribosomal RNA
Rfam family: Bacterial small subunit ribosomal RNA
Source: RNAcentral